Molecule: ribosomal RNA, 699 nt
Filed under: Bacillus cereus
Lineage: Bacteria; Bacillati; Bacillota; Bacilli; Caryophanales; Bacillaceae
Description: bacterial SSU rRNA
Rfam family: Bacterial small subunit ribosomal RNA
Source: RNAcentral
GCGUAAGCGCGCGCAGGUGGUUUCUUAAGUCUGAUGUGAAAGCCCCCGGCUCAACCGGGGAGGGUCAUUGGAAACUGGGAGACUUGAGUGCAGAAGAGGAAAGUGGAAUUCCAUGUGUAGCGGUGAAAUGCGUAGAGAUGUGGAGGAACACCAGUGGCGAAGGCGACUCUCUGGUCUGUAACUGACACUGAGGAGCGAAAGCGUGGGGAGCGAACAGGAUUAGAUACCCUGGUAGUCCACGCCGUAAACGAUGAGUGCUAAGUGUUAGAGGGUUUCCGCCCUUUAGUGCUGAAGUUAACGCAUUAAGCACUCCGCCUGGGGAGUACGGCCGCAAGGCUGAAACUCAAAGGAAUUGACGGGGGCCCGCACAAGCGGUGGAGCAUGUGGUUUAAUUCGAAGCAACGCGAAGAACCUUACCAGGUCUUGACAUCCUCUGACAACCCUAGAGAUAGGGCUUCUCCUUCGGGAACAGAGUGACAGGUGGUGCAUGGUUGUCGUCAGCUCGUGUCGUGAGAUGUUGGGUUAAGUCCCGCAACGAGCGCAACCCUUGAUCUUAGUUGCCAUCAUUUAGUUGGGCACUCUAAGGUGACUGCCGGUGACAAACCGGAGGAAGGUGGGGAUGACGUCAAAUCAUCAUGCCCCUUAUGACCUGGGCUACACACGUGCUACAAUGGACGGUACAAAGAGCUGCAAGACCGC